UACAGAGGUCCCAAGCGUUGUUCGGAUUCACUGGGCGUAAAGGGUGCGUAGGCGGUCGGGUAAGUCUGAUGUGAAAUCUCCAAGCUUAACUUGGAAAUGGCAUCGGAUACUAUUCGGCUCGAGGAAUGGAGGGGAGACUGGAAUACUUGGUGUAGCAGUGAAAUGCGUAGAUAUCUGGAGGAACACCGGUGGCGAAGGCGGCAUCCUGGACCAACACUGACGCUGAGUGAGCGAAAGCCAGGGGAGCAAACGGG
Molecule: ribosomal RNA, 254 nt
Filed under: uncultured bacterium
Lineage: Bacteria
Description: partial 16S ribosomal RNA
Rfam family: Bacterial small subunit ribosomal RNA
Source: RNAcentral